AUUGAACGCUGGCGGCAGGCCUAACACAUGCAAGUCGAGCGGUAACAGGAGAAAGCUUGCUUUCUUGCUGACGAGCGGCGGACGGGUGAGUAAUGUAUGGGGAUCUGCCCGAUAGAGGGGGAUAACUACUGGAAACGGUGGCUAAUACCGCAUAAUGUCUACGGACCAAAGCAGGGGCUCUUCGGACCUUGCACUAUCGGAUGAACCCAUAUGGGAUUAGCUAGUAGGUGGGGUAAAGGCUCACCUAGGCGACGAUCUCUAGCUGGUCUGAGAGGAUGAUCAGCCACACUGGGACUGAGACACGGCCCAGACUCCUACGGGAGGCAGCAGUGGGGAAUAUUGCACAAUGGGCGCAAGCCUGAUGCAGCCAUGCCGCGUGUAUGAAGAAGGCCUUAGGGUUGUAAAGUACUUUCAGCGGGGAGGAAGGUGAUAAGGUUAAUACCCUUAUCAAUUGACGUACCCGCAGAAGAGC
This 472-nucleotide ribosomal RNA is filed under the name Proteus mirabilis. RNAcentral's name for it is "bacterial SSU rRNA". It matches the Rfam family "Bacterial small subunit ribosomal RNA", at positions 30 to 490 of the family's 1533-position model. Lineage: Bacteria; Pseudomonadati; Pseudomonadota; Gammaproteobacteria; Enterobacterales; Morganellaceae. The record is from RNAcentral.